This 6016-nucleotide long non-coding RNA is filed under the name Sus scrofa (pig). Its description in RNAcentral is "lncRNA (ENSSSCG00000060544.1)". Lineage: Eukaryota; Metazoa; Chordata; Mammalia; Artiodactyla; Suidae. The record is from RNAcentral.
CACCCGUGGCAUAUGAAGGUUCCCAGGCUAGAGGUCCAAUCAGAGCUGUAUCUGCCUACCUAUACCACAGCCACAGCAACACCAGAUCUAAGCAGCAUCCGUGACCUAUACCAUAGCUCAUGGCAAUGCCAGAUCUUUAACCCACUGAGCAAGGCCAGGUAUUGAACCUGUGUCCUCAUGGAUACUAGUUGGGUUUAUUACCUCUGAGACACAACUGGAACUCCUCAGAUUGCUUCUUGACCUUCAACCCCACAUUGCAUCCUUUAGGUUCUAAUGAUACUACCUCCAAAGUAGGUAUUUGUUAUAUGGAUCUCCCUCCAUCCACACUGCACCAUUCUUACCCUCUUCAUCUCUUUCAUUUAGAGUACUCUCCCUGGGUUCACCCUCUCUAACCCUCUACUCCAUUUCCUAAGAUCCUACAGAAUUGGAGUCAUUGCCUACAAAAUAAAAAUUAAGCUCAGUUGCCUGUCACUAAAGGUACUUGGUGAUCUGAUCCUUGUCUGUGUCACCUUACCUCCCACCACUUCCUUUUCUUUUCUAUUUCCACUUUUAUUCUCCAAGAACAUUGAAUAUUUGUAUUUCCAGAAACAUGCCUUGUUUGCACUGUUGUGCCUUGUUCCUUGUGGAAUACCAGCUGCUAGGCAAUGUUCUAUGUAGAUCAUAUGACUGCACUAGUGAGUUGAUGGGUAAAUAAAUAAAUGUAUUGUUGUCCUUCUUGGUUGCAAUUUUUCAGUCUGAAAUAGUAUGUAUUUUGUUCUCCUAAAUGAACCUUAGAUACAUGAACCAUUUAAAUAAUUAUGUAUGGGCACUGUGUUAUGCCCUUGAAUAACAAGGACAAAUCACUUACAGUCAUUGCCUAGCACUACAGUAUACAAUAUUCAGAACAAGUUAGAAAUUUAAAAUAUCUUAUUUAAGGUCAUAGUACAUAGAAUGAUACAUUGGUUAUUGGUACCUGGUGUGAAACAAUAAUCUGAUAAAUAUUUGAAAAGAAGAAGGAAGGAAAGGAAGUAAGAAAGAAAGAGAAGGAAAGAGACAGAGAAAUACUUGGUUUUCAAAAGUCCAAGAGGUAUGAUAUUCUCACAUAUUUUUAACCCAAAACCCCUUUUACAGAUAAUAUUUUAUAAGCAACCCAGUAUAUAUUAUUCUACUAGGUCUACAUAUACUUAUUGAUCACUUGGUAAUAAUACUUGGACUGUGUUAGGUGAUAGAGAUAUAACAAAGAACAAGAUCUCUGUCCUCUUGGAACUUGAAGAUAGAUAAUAAACAAGAGAAAUGUUCAAAUAGUAUUAGUCAUACAAACAUGACAUGACAGGAUACUCUCACUGAGACAGAGUGCAGCCACUUUUGAUACACUGAUUGAGACAGACUCUGUGGGAGUUCCCAUUAUGGCGCAGAGGAAAUGUAUCUGACUAGGAUCCAUGAGGACUCAGGUUUGAUCCCUGGCUUCGCUCAGUGGGUUAAGGAUCCCAUGUUGCCAUGAGCUAUGGUGUAGGUCGCAGAUAUGGCAUGGAUCUGGUGUUGCUGUGGCUGUGUUGUCAGCCAGCAGCUGCAGCUCUGAUUCGACCCCCAGCCUGGGAACUUCCAUAUGCUGCCUGGAUGCAGCCCUCAAAAAAUGAAAACAAACAAACAUAUCCUCUCAGGACAUUGGCCUUGGCAAUGGCAACAUCUUUUUUUUUUUUGGAUUCACAACAAAUUCAAAAUCAACAAAAGCAAAAAUGAACAUGUAGGAUUACCUCAAACUAAAAAACUUCUUCACAACAAACAAAACUGUGGAUAAAAUGAAAAGGCAACCUAUGGAAAGGGAAAAAAAUAUUUACAAAUCAUCUAUCUGAUAAGCGGUUAUUAUCCAAAAUGUAUAAGAAACUCAUACAACUCAAAACUAAAAUAAAAACAAAAACCAAUAAUCUAAUUUUUUAAAAAAGAAAGAAGAUCUAAAUAAGCAUUUUUCCAAAGACGAAAUACAAAUGGCCAACAGGUACAUGCAAAGGGGCUCAACAGUCCUCACAGAAAUGUACAUCAAAACCACAAUGAGAUAUCACUUCACACCUAUUAUUUUAGAAUGGCUGUCAUCAAAAAGACAAGAGAUAACAAAUUUGGGUAAGGAUGUGGAGAAAAGGGAAUCCUCAUGCUUUGCUGGUGGGAAUGUAAAUUGUACAGUCGCAAUGGAAAACAGUAUGGAGAUUCCUCCAAAGUUAAAAAAGAACUACCACAUGAUCCAGCAAUCCACUUUUGGGGUAUGUAUCUAAAAGAAAUGAAAAUAGGAUAUUGAAGAGAUUUCUACACUCAUGUGUUCACAGAAACAUCGUUCACAGUAGCCAAGACGGCAAAACAAUCUAAGUGUUCACUGAUGAAUGAAUGGCUAAAGAUGCGAUACACACACACACACACACACACACACACACAGAGUGGAACAUUAUUCUACCAUGAGGGUGAAGAAAAUUCUGCCAUUUACAAAUUUACAACAUGGAUGAAACUUAAGGGCAUUGUGUUAAGUGAUAUAAGCUAGAAAGAGAAAGACAAAUACUACAGGGUAUGAUGUAUAAUACAUGGAGUCUUAAAAAUAUGUAUAUUAAAAUUAAAACUCACAGAAACAGAGAAUAGAAAAAUGAUUACCAGGGACUAAGUGGGUGGAGAAAAUAGGGAGAGGGUGGUAAAAGGUACAAUUUUUAGCUAUAAGAGGAAUAAAGUCUGACAGUCUAAUGUACAGUAUGGUGAGUUGACAGUAAAAGUUGAUAGUACUUUAUUGCAUAAUUGAAAUUUACUAAAAGUGGAACUUAAAUGUUUUUACCAAAGGAAGGAAGGAAGGAAGAAAGAAAGAAAGGAAAGACGGUUGAAAGAAAGAAAGGAUAAAUAACAUGAGGUGAUGGAUGAGUUAAAUGACUACAUGGUGGGAAUCUUUUCACAAUGUAUAGAUGUAUCAAGUCAUCACAAUGUACACUUUAAAUAUCUUACAAUUUUAUUUAUUGAUUUACACCUCAAUAAAGCUGAAAAAAACAAACAUUUCCUGAGUACCUAUUAUGUGCCCAUCACUGAACUUAGUGAUAGAGAUACAAAAAUGAAAAACAUGGUUCUUGUCUUACUAUACAACGCAGUGAGACGGACAAGCAUAAUGACAUACUUUUAGAAUUAUACAUUAACUGCUAAAGUAGGAAUAUUGAAAACCUGGGGUGAGGAUCAAUUAUCCCAGGCUGGUGUUUGGGGAAGUUUUCCUAGAAGAGGUAAUACCUAAGUUUUGAGUUAAUCAGGCUAAGAAGGGAGCUCUGUGUAUAUAAGCUAAAAAAAUUUUAAAAAGACACAUUUUCAUAUAGAAGAGUACAAGGAAGUUCUUUCAAGUCAACAAUAUUACUAAAGCUUAAAAUAUGAACGUAGGACCAGUGGGAAAUGGGAUUUGAGACAUAAAUAAGAAACAGAUCAGGAAAGGUUUCAAGGCCAUUUCAAGCUGUUCAAACACUGUGCUGAGGUCAAUUAAAAGCCAUUGAUGGAUAAUAAAGAGAAAACUGGACCUAGUCAGAUAUGCAAUUUAAACAGAUCUCUGGCAGCUGAUGGGGAACAUCUUGGACAUAUUUUUUUCCCUAGCUACUAUUCUGGAAGAGAACUGCUUUUCUUGAAAUGCCAAACCUCUUCUGAAUACUUUAAAUAGCUUUUAACCAUGAUUGAUUAAUUUUAAAGGGAAUUACCUAAUAUUUUCCUUAUAGUCUCCAACAUAUUUUAUUUUCCAAAUUGAUUUUAUGGUUUACAUGGAAUAAUGGCAGAGAGAGAGAAUAUAAAAGUGGUUUGCAGGCUGCCUUAUUAGCCAGACAUUCUGCUAACAGAAGCCUGAGAUGUCCUUAGUUUUCUAAUAUGACACAUUUCUUAGACUCCAAGGCAGCAGUGAAUUCAUCCGACCCAGAUAUGACAGGGGAUCCUCUCUGAUGAGUAUUUGCAAUCUUUUUGCCUCUUUCCUUGAAAACCUUUACUCCUCUUCUGAUUUGACUAUGUAAUUGGCAAUUAAAUGGAAAAACCAUACCUUCUUAAAACUCUUAUGGAUUAUAAAUUUUGCAUUUCUUUUAUCUGAUGAUGUCCACUGCCUUCUUACACAUUUACUUACUAGUCCAGUGACCUUCAGGCAAGGCACAGAAGCACUGCUCUCUGUUCCAGGCAGCAUCCAGCCAUGGUAAGGAAGUUUCAGCUGCAUGCUUAAGUAUCUGUAUUAGGCCCUAAAUAGAUCUCCUAUCUGAUAACUUCUAAUACCUUCAUAAUCUUGAAAAGUCUUAGUCAAUAUUGAUAUGCAGGUUUCACUGAUACUAUAAAUCCAUUAUUCAACUACAAUCCCAUUCACCUUACCCAUCACUGAAGUAUUCUUUUAAGAACUUAUUCUGCCACCCUGUCUUCAUAAUUAGGCACAGAGGCUAAUGAAAACAUGGUAUAGUUUGUGAGUAUAUUUCUCUGAAGAUCCAAGGAAUUUUUUCUUCUUCAACAUUUAAUUAUUGAUUAUUUUCACACUAAAGGCUAACUUAUUGAGCAUCUGCAUAGUUUUAUGCAGAUGGAAAUAAAUAAAAUUGAGGGGUUAAUCUUUAAAUUUUGUCUUUGUUUCCUCUAUUGUCCUUUUCCAUUAUUUGCUGUUCCUCACCAUUUGCUGUUUCCCACCUUCCUCUAUAAGAAAACCAUUAAAUCUCAUUGAUACCAUUGUUUCUCCUCCAAUCUAGGCCAAUUAUGCUUUUCCCUACAAGAAAAAAAACUACCUCAUUUGCAUGAAUGUAUUCAUAUUCACCUAUUUAUUUGUUCCUUCAUUAUUUCAUUCAUUUAUUGAAUUAUUAAGCCAUCCUCCUCUCUAAUCAAUACUUGAAAGAUGAUCUGUUAGCACUGAAAGGCCCUGGGCUAGGCAACAGGUACCCAGAUGGAAGCAGAUCCUAACUGUGUAAUUAACUGUCUGGAUCCAGAUCAUUUAACCUCUUUAGACCUUGGUUUACUCAUCUAAACAUGGAACGGAUUAAAUCAGUAGCCACUUGUCUUAUUUAGGUCAUAGGCCUCUUGCAGAAUCUGAUGACUAUGAACUUUCUCUCCAGAAAAGAAAAGUUGCUCGUAUCCAGAUACCUGUAAAAUUUUUGCAUUUGAUUUUUUGAGACUCAUGGAGUUUUAAAACCUGUGUAUGAAUACUUGGGAGACUCCUAGGCUCCUGGUUAGGAACCACUGAAGUACAUGGUCUCCCCCUUUGGAGUUCCAGAGAGCCUUGCUACACAAGUGUAGUUCACAAAGGAGCAUUUACCUGGGAGUUCCCUAGAAGUCCCAGGUCCUGCCUCAGACCUACAAAAUAAGACUUUGCAUUUUAACAGUAACUUCAAGGAAUUUAUAUGGACAUUAACGUUUGAGAAGCACAGCUAUUAAGUUUGGUUUAAAUACAUUUCAUGUAGAAGCAGAAAGGAAGAUAAUAAUGAUUGUUAGAAUGGAUUAGAAGUGCUUUCCUCUUUCCUGUCUCUUUCAUGAUGUCUCAAAAUACAGAUAAACCAUAGCAAAGAUUUUUAAUCACAGACUUGGAUCCAUGGAUGAACUGAACAGCCUUCCAUUGAAAUAAGCUUUAGAUAAUGCAUUUUGUUUUAUUCAUGGAAGAAGCAUUUAUUUACGUUAUGAUGGUUCUGUUAAUGAUAAUCAUGAUUAAAUACAUACGGUAUUUGGGGAAGCUAUCACCACUAAUGGCCCCACUAACAAAAUAGGAAGAGAAAAACCAAAAAGUUAGUUCGGCUCUAUAAAAGUAAUUCUUAAUGUACAGUCAUUUAUGUGAAUGACUUAACAUUUAUGCCUGAUAAUUAUGCAGUAUAAUAAUAUUAUGCUAAUCCUUAGACAGAUGCAAUGUUUCAGAUUAACAUAGCUGUAGGUCUUAUUUAAUUAUAGCAGCAAUCUUAGAGAUACAUUUUGUCUUCAUAAUUUGUUACUCUUGCAGCAUGGAAAUCUAUUCAGAACCUUUCCAAAUUAGGGCAAAUAUUAGUUUAAAAAUAACAUAUAAAAUUCAUUUUUUAUCUAAAGCCAUUUAGUAUUUAUA